CGCUGACGAGUGGCGAACGGGUGAGUAAUACAUCGGAACGUGCCCAGUCGUGGGGGAUAACUACUCGAAAGAGUAGCUAAUACCGCAUACGAUCUGAGGAUGAAAGCGGGGGACCUUCGGGCCUCGCGCGAUUGGAGCGGCCGAUGGCAGAUUAGGUAGUUGGUGGGAUAAAAGCUUACCAAGCCGACGAUCUGUAGCUGGUCUGAGAGGACGACCAGCCACACUGGGACUGAGACACGGCCCAGACUCCUACGGGAGGCAGCAGUGGGGAAUUUUGGACAAUGGGCGAAAGCCUGAUCCAGCCAUGCCGCGUGCAGGAUGAAGGCCUUCGGGUUGUAAACUGCUUUUGUACGGAACGAAAAAGUUCUCUCUAAUACAGGGGGCGAAUGACGGUACCGUAAGAAUAAGCACCGGCUAACUACGUGCCAGCAGCCGCGGUAAUACGUAGGGUGCAAGCGCUAAUCGGAAUUACUGGGCGUAAAGCGUGCGCAGGCGGUUAUAUAAGACAGAUGUGAAAUCCCCGGGCUCAACCUGGGAACUGCAUUAGUGACUGUAUAGCUAGAGUGCGGCAGAGGGGGAUGGAAUUCCGCGUGUAGCAGUGAAAUGCGUAGAUAUGCGGAGGAACACCGAUGGCGAAGGCAAUCCCCUGGGCCUGCACUGACGCUCAUGCACGAAAGCGUGGGGAGCAAACAGGAUUAGAUGCCCUGGUAGUCCACGCCCUAAACGAUGUCUACUAGUUGUCGGGUCUUAAUUGACUUGGUAACGCAGCUAACGCGUGAAGUAGACCGCC
Molecule: ribosomal RNA, 790 nt
Filed under: uncultured bacterium
Lineage: Bacteria
Description: bacterial SSU rRNA
Rfam family: Bacterial small subunit ribosomal RNA
Source: RNAcentral